This 910-nucleotide long non-coding RNA is filed under the name Canis lupus familiaris (dog). RNAcentral describes it as "lncRNA (ENSCAFG00000056021.1, ENSCAFG00845004349.1)". The record is from RNAcentral. Lineage: Eukaryota; Metazoa; Chordata; Mammalia; Carnivora; Canidae.
CUGUGACCAUCCCGGGCCACUGUCCCUCAGGCAGAGCCAGCUGGCCCCAGGAGAAGAGGUCAUAGAGGCAGCCAUGGGGAGGCUGGGAUCUGUGGCUCCAGUGAGUUGGAAGACAGUGGAGACUUUUCAGCAUUGAUAGGAGCCCCCAUCAUCUGGCUCCAUGUGGAUGAAGACCUGCAUUUAUUGCCUUUACAGUCAUGUGCUCCCUGGACAGUGAGAUGAGUGCUCCACCAAGAGACAGAGUCAGCGCAGGCAGGUGCAACUUGGCCCUUGAACGGUGGAUUCCCGAUGGCAGGAUCUUGGACUUUUCUACUUUCUCUGGAGAGCAAGACAGGGAGAGCCAGCUUAACCAUGGCCUGGAGAGGUGAUCUGCCAGGAAGAAAGGGGGAGAGGCUGCCUAAGGAUGAAGAGGGGCACACGCAUAUUCCCAAGAACAAACGUGAGAACUGUACAGCACCUGAACCGAGCACUCAGUGUCUGAAGCCAGAGGGGAAGAGUUUUGUACCUCCGAAGUGGGUGUCCCUGGUUCGCCCUGAGGCUCCUGAGUGAGUGAUGGGCAUCUUAAGAUGCAAAACCUCAUGAAGAAGAGUUCACAACCAGGUACGCCGCGAGAGGACCAGCUCUUUGGAGAUGAAAUGCAGCACAUGUUAAGUCAUGGGUUCAAGUCAAACAUGCUCUAACGGACACAUAGUGGAACCAAAGGCAUAGUUUAGCAGCAGGUCUUCCGGAAAACAAGCAACCAACACAAGCAAAACCCUGACUUGCUAAGACAGAAGGUGGGAGUGGGAGCAGCUUUGACAAGGUCAGGUUAUUCUACAUAUUGCGUUUGUGUAAAUUAGAGCAAGAGCCCCCUGCUGGGUGGAUGUGGCACUGCUAGACCAUGGCUUGGCAGGUCCAAGGCAACUUUCUU